Molecule: ribosomal RNA, 447 nt
Filed under: uncultured bacterium
Lineage: Bacteria
Description: bacterial SSU rRNA
Rfam family: Bacterial small subunit ribosomal RNA
Source: RNAcentral
AGCCAGACUCCUACGGGAGGCAGCAGUGGGGAAUAUUGCACAAUGGGGGAAACCCUGAUGCAGCGACGCCGCGUGAGUGAAGAAGUAUUUCGGUAUGUAAAGCUCUAUCAGCAGGGAAGAAGUUGACGGUACCUGAGUAAGAAGCCCCGGCUAACUACGUGCCAGCAGCCGCGGUAAUACGUAGGGGGCAAGCGUUAUCCGGAUUUACUGGGUGUAAAGGGAGCGUAGACGGCAGUGCAAGUCUGAAGUGAAAGCCCCGGGCUUAACCCGGGAAUUGCUUUGGAAACUGUACGGCUGGAGUGCUGGAGAGGUAAGCGGAAUUCCUAGUGUAGCGGUGAAAUGCGUAGAUAUUAGGAGGAACACCAGUGGCGAAGGCGGCUUACUGGACAGUAACUGACGUUGAGGCUCGAAAGCGUGGGGAGCAAACAGGAUUAGAUACCCUCGUAA